RNAcentral lists this long non-coding RNA (1400 nucleotides) under Callithrix jacchus (white-tufted-ear marmoset). Its description in RNAcentral is "lncRNA (ENSCJAG00000077368.1)". Lineage: Eukaryota; Metazoa; Chordata; Mammalia; Primates; Cebidae. The record is from RNAcentral.
GAAAUAUUUCAGCACAGAACCUUGGAUUCCGGGGGAUUCCUGAGGGAGGUGAAGCAUGUGAUCAUCCUGACUUUUUCUUUGCGGCUACUCCUGAAUCAUGGCCCAGGAAGGCAGAAUCCAAGCAGAGCACAACAGGUUUACUAAACUGGAGAGGCAGAGAUUCGAGUCGAAAGUUUGCAGAGGGUCAGGAUAACUGAGAGAACAGAGCUGCAUAAAAGAGCAACUGCAGAAAUUUAUGUAUUAAUCCCCUUCAGGCACUGGAUGAAAUUAAAACAUACAUGUUUAGGGCAAGACUACCCGACCUUUGGCAAAAACAGCUUCCGGAGAGCUAUGAGAUGAGCAGAGCUCUCUGAUGUUACACAGUGCUGAGAAAUAUUGGUGUUCCAAUCAUCCAGAGUGGAGAGAAGACCUCAACUGAGACCCAGAAAGGCCACAUCUGAGAAGCCGUGUUCCUCUCCUCCUAGAGUAGGAGCACUCUAGAAGCACUCUAGCGAAGCCUAGCACCAGGCCUCUAAGGGUCAAGCUGAUCUUCCAGCAAAUUAACUGCCUACAAGAACAAAACAGCAUUCUCUGAGGAGAAGCAACACAAUUCAGACUUGGAAGGUGGUGUCGCGAUGUCUAGACUACAAGAAAAUCUUACAGACAAACACAGAACCAAGAAAAUGCAAUCUAUGCACACGUCACUGGUAAAAACUGAUCCUAAGAUGAUCCAGAUGUUGGGUCAAGAAUUUUAAAACAGCUUUGCAAAUAUGUUCGAGUACAUAAAGGAAAAUGUAAUGAUGAUAAAUUAACAGAUGUGGAAUCUUAACAGAGAAAUGUAAUUUAUAAAAAGGAACCAAAUUAAAAUUUUAGAGCUAAAAUGUAUAACAUCUGAUGUAAAAAAUUAACUGAUGGAAUUAACAACCAAUUGGAGACAACGGAAGAAAGGACAGAUAAACUUUCAUAUAUUAAUAGAAAAUUUCCAGUGGAAAACAGCUGGUAGAAGUUGUCAAUAUCUGUAUUUCCAGAUUCUGCUGCAGGGUAAGCAUCAGCAACAUCUAACACAUCGAAGAUGUCUGAAGGUGUGGCCAAUGAAACUUACCCCUGUUGCAGCAGCACCAGUUUCCAGCCUAAGGCGGGGAAUGAGAGACAUGCUGAUGUGUUUAAUACUCAUGAGAACCACUCCGAGGCUGGAAAGGGAACCCCAAGAGAAAGGUUUCAUGAAAAAAUAGGAGGUAAGAAGGGUUUUCUUUCUACCUCUGAACGUAACACGCAGAGGGAGGCUGGUUUUAAGUUUGGGGCUUGUCUGCAUUUCUUCAUAGGGAAUACUAAAUAAGGAGGUUUUGGUUGCAGGAUUCAGGAUUCCCUGAAAGAUAAGAGUGAAAUACUCCCUCUUUCUGCCUAGCCGCCACCAUCUCGGG